This 463-nucleotide ribosomal RNA is filed under the name uncultured beta proteobacterium. Its description in RNAcentral is "bacterial SSU rRNA". It matches the Rfam family "Bacterial small subunit ribosomal RNA", at positions 338 to 794 of the family's 1533-position model. Lineage: Bacteria; Pseudomonadati; Pseudomonadota; Betaproteobacteria. The record is from RNAcentral.
CAUACGGGAGGCAGCAGUGGGGAAUUUUGGACAAUGGGCGCAAGCGUGAUCCAGCCAUGCCGCGUGCGGGAAGAAGGCUUUCGGGUUGUAAACCGCUUUUGUCAGGGAAGAAAUCUCCUGGGGUAAUACCUCGGGGGAUGACGGUACCUGAAGAAUAAGCACCGGCUAACUACGUGCCAGCAGCCGCGGUAAUACGUAGGGUGCAAGCGUUAAUCGGAAUUACUGGGCGUAAAGCGUGCGCAGGCGGUUAUGUAAGACAGAUGUGAAAUCCCCGGGCUUAACCUGGGAACUGCGUUUGUGACUGCAUAACUCGAGUGUGGCAGAGGGGGGUGGAAUUUCACGUGUAGCAGUGAAAUGCGUAGAGAUGUGGAGGAACACCGAUGGCGAAGGCAGCCCCCUGGGUUAACACUGACGCUCAUGCACGAAAGCGUGGGGAGCAAACAGGAUUAGAUACCCCAGUAGU